This 1542-nucleotide ribosomal RNA is filed under the name Salmonella enterica subsp. enterica. RNAcentral describes it as "bacterial SSU rRNA". It matches the Rfam family "Bacterial small subunit ribosomal RNA". The record is from RNAcentral. Lineage: Bacteria; Pseudomonadati; Pseudomonadota; Gammaproteobacteria; Enterobacterales; Enterobacteriaceae.
AAAUUGAAGAGUUUGAUCAUGGCUCAGAUUGAACGCUGGCGGCAGGCCUAACACAUGCAAGUCGAACGGUAACAGGAAGCAGCUUGCUGCUUCGCUGACGAGUGGCGGACGGGUGAGUAAUGUCUGGGAAACUGCCUGAUGGAGGGGGAUAACUACUGGAAACGGUGGCUAAUACCGCAUAACGUCGCAAGACCAAAGAGGGGGACCUUCGGGCCUCUUGCCAUCAGAUGUGCCCAGAUGGGAUUAGCUUGUUGGUGAGGUAACGGCUCACCAAGGCGACGAUCCCUAGCUGGUCUGAGAGGAUGACCAGCCACACUGGAACUGAGACACGGUCCAGACUCCUACGGGAGGCAGCAGUGGGGAAUAUUGCACAAUGGGCGCAAGCCUGAUGCAGCCAUGCCGCGUGUAUGAAGAAGGCCUUCGGGUUGUAAAGUACUUUCAGCGGGGAGGAAGGUGUUGUGGUUAAUAACCGCAGCAAUUGACGUUACCCGCAGAAGAAGCACCGGCUAACUCCGUGCCAGCAGCCGCGGUAAUACGGAGGGUGCAAGCGUUAAUCGGAAUUACUGGGCGUAAAGCGCACGCAGGCGGUCUGUCAAGUCGGAUGUGAAAUCCCCGGGCUCAACCUGGGAACUGCAUUCGAAACUGGCAGGCUUGAGUCUUGUAGAGGGGGGUAGAAUUCCAGGUGUAGCGGUGAAAUGCGUAGAGAUCUGGAGGAAUACCGGUGGCGAAGGCGGCCCCCUGGACAAAGACUGACGCUCAGGUGCGAAAGCGUGGGGAGCAAACAGGAUUAGAUACCCUGGUAGUCCACGCCGUAAACGAUGUCUACUUGGAGGUUGUGCCCUUGAGGCGUGGCUUCCGGAGCUAACGCGUUAAGUAGACCGCCUGGGGAGUACGGCCGCAAGGUUAAAACUCAAAUGAAUUGACGGGGGCCCGCACAAGCGGUGGAGCAUGUGGUUUAAUUCGAUGCAACGCGAAGAACCUUACCUGGUCUUGACAUCCACAGAAUUUUGCAGAGAUGCGGAAGUGCCUUCGGGAACUGUGAGACAGGUGCUGCAUGGCUGUCGUCAGCUCGUGUUGUGAAAUGUUGGGUUAAGUCCCGCAACGAGCGCAACCCUUAUCCUUUGUUGCCAGCGGUUAGGCCGGGAACUCAAAGGAGACUGCCAGUGAUAAACUGGAGGAAGGUGGGGAUGACGUCAAGUCAUCAUGGCCCUUACGACCAGGGCUACACACGUGCUACAAUGGCGCAUACAAAGAGAAGCGACCUCGCGAGAGCAAGCGGACCUCAUAAAGUGCGUCGUAGUCCGGAUUGGAGUCUGCAACUCGACUCCAUGAAGUCGGAAUCGCUAGUAAUCGUGGAUCAGAAUGCCACGGUGAAUACGUUCCCGGGCCUUGUACACACCGCCCGUCACACCAUGGGAGUGGGUUGCAAAAGAAGUAGGUAGCUUAACCUUCGGGAGGGCGCUUACCACUUUGUGAUUCAUGACUGGGGUGAAGUCGUAACAAGGUAACCGUAGGGGAACCUGCGGUUGGAUCACCUCCUUA